UACGGAGGAUGCGAGCGUUAUCCGGAAUCAUUGGGUUUAAAGGGUGCGUAGGCUGGUAUUUAAGUCAGUGGUGAAAUUUUCGUGCUUAACAUGAGAGCUGCCAUUGAUACUGGGUACCUAGAGUGUAUUUGAUGUGGGCGGAAUGUGUUGUGUAGCGGUGAAAUGCUUAGAUAUGACACAGAACAUCGAUAGCGAAAGGGCAGCUCACAAAGUUACAACUGACGCUGAUGCACGAAAGCGUGGGGAUCAAACAGG
Molecule: ribosomal RNA, 255 nt
Filed under: uncultured bacterium
Lineage: Bacteria
Description: partial 16S ribosomal RNA
Rfam family: Bacterial small subunit ribosomal RNA
Source: RNAcentral